RNAcentral lists this unclassified non-coding RNA (332 nucleotides) under uncultured fungus. RNAcentral describes it as "partial contains 5.8S ribosomal RNA and internal transcribed spacer 2". The stretch from base 1 to 133 matches the Rfam family "5.8S ribosomal RNA", at positions 22 to 154 of the family's 154-position model. Lineage: Eukaryota; Fungi. The record is from RNAcentral.
UGGUUCUGGCAUCGAUGAAGAACGCAGCGAAAUGCGAUAAGUAAUGUGAAUUGCAGAAUUCAGUGAAUCAUCGAAUCUUUGAACGCACAUUGCGCCCUCCGGUAUUCCGGGGGGCAUACCUGUCCGAGCGUCAUCAAACAUCCUCAAGCGUAGCUUGGUAUUGGGCUCCGUCGUUCACCCUCCAGGGGGCGGCCGGCCUGAAAAUCAGUGAGCGGUCCGGGGAGAUCCUGUAUGCAAUAAACUCUUCAUUCAGGCUUCGAUCCGCGACCUGCCAGCAGGGCCCCACCGCCAUUUUGACAAUCGACCUCGGAUCAGGUAGGGAUACCCGCUGA